Molecule: non-coding RNA, 45 nt
Organism: Schistosoma margrebowiei
Lineage: Eukaryota; Metazoa; Platyhelminthes; Trematoda; Strigeidida; Schistosomatidae
Source: Rfam
AUCCAGCUGAAGAGUUCUAAGCGGGACGAGACACUCGUCCUGGAU